Molecule: non-coding RNA, 79 nt
Organism: Flavobacterium sp. A45
Lineage: Bacteria; Pseudomonadati; Bacteroidota; Flavobacteriia; Flavobacteriales; Flavobacteriaceae
Source: Rfam
GCCUAGCCCUGAUAGAAGCGGUAUCCUUUUUCUUGCUCCUUUAGCAAGAAAAAGAUACAAGCGGAUAGCAGGAAAUAGC